This 253-nucleotide ribosomal RNA is filed under the name uncultured bacterium. Its description in RNAcentral is "partial 16S ribosomal RNA". It matches the Rfam family "Bacterial small subunit ribosomal RNA", at positions 524 to 776 of the family's 1533-position model. The record is from RNAcentral.
UACGGAGGGAGCUAGCGUUGUUCGGAAUUACUGGGCGUAAAGGGCGCGUAGGCGGCCUUCUAAGUCGAACGUGAAAUCCCCGGGCUCAACCCGGGAACUGCGUCCGAUACUGGAAGGCUUGAAUCCGGGAGAGGGAUGCGGAAUUCCAGGUGUAGCGGUGAAAUGCGUAGAUAUCAGGAGGAACACCAAUAGCGAAGGCAGCUCGCUGGGACGGUACUGACGCUGAGGCGCGAAAGCGUGGGGAGCAAACAGG